RNAcentral lists this ribosomal RNA (492 nucleotides) under uncultured bacterium. RNAcentral describes it as "partial 16S ribosomal RNA". It matches the Rfam family "Bacterial small subunit ribosomal RNA", at positions 29 to 507 of the family's 1533-position model. The record is from RNAcentral.
AGUGAACGCUGGCGGCAGGCUUAACACAUGCAAGUCGAACGGCAGCACAGCAAUAGCUUGCCCUUACCUGGCGCGAGUGGCGGACGUGCGAGGAAUAUAUCCGACCCUCCCUUUUCUUGGGGGUUAACGUAGGGAAACUUACGCUAUUACCGCAUACCUUCUUCGGGUGCAUGCAUUGGAUAUUCUGACCUUGCGCGAUUGUAUUGGCCGUUGUCGGAUUUGCUAGUUGGCGGGGUAAAGGCCCCCCAAGGCGACGAUCCGAUGCUGAUCUGAGAGGAUGAUCAGCCACACUGGAACUGAAACACGGUCCAGACUCCUACGGGAGGCAGCAGUGGAGAAUAUUGGACAAGGGGCGCAAGCCUAAUCCAGCCAUACCGCGUGGGUUAAGAAGGCCUUCGGGUUGUAAAGCCCUUUUGUUGGGAAAGAAAAGCAGCAGGUUAAUACCCCGCUGUUCCGACGGUACCCAAAGAAUAAGCACCGGCUAACUUCGUG